UGCUGUGCCGCCGGGCGGCCGUCUGUGGAUUUAUGGUCUGAGGCCGGCAGAGUUUGUGCUCCUGCCUCUGGCACUGCACUGGUGACAGCAAUGCUGUGUGUGUGCCAGCAAGCCUGCAAGGCCAGAGCCUGCAGCACCCUGUGCUCACGUGCUGCAUGUUGUGCAGGGACGUCAUGCCAUAAGCACAGAGACACGAGCUAUGCAAAUCUGCAGUGUGACACAAAACUCCUCUCGGGACUGGGAGCUGACAGUGAUUUCUUUGUCGUUCCCCUGUUGUCAUCUUCCCCACUGCACAUGCAUUUGUUCAUCAUUAGUAAGAUAUUGUUGAUGACUAAAGCCUGGGUCUGUAUCGCAGUCUGCUUGAAGGAGCAAUCCAGAACUGCAGGGCUCAGCUCGUGAGGAGUGAGGACAGUGCAUUUCCUCACAUCUAUGGGACGUGAAGAGUCCCUCCUGACUGACAGCGAAUUGCAUCACUGCUUGUACAGAUAUUUUUCUCUGCAAUGUGCUUGUUGUGUUGUUUUCCUCCAGUGGAAUUUGCCAGCACGUCCCAAGUUGUGUGGUUCUGAAAUGGAGAAGCAACGUACCUGUGUGGGGGAGAGAAUGAGUGGUUUUUGCUUCGUUCAAUCUGGCUCUUCCCUCCCUUCUCCCCACAUCCCCAUGUGUUACAAAGCCAGCUGCUCCCAGAAUAGGUUGGGAAUGAAAUGUCACCGUUUGAAACUGGAGGAUGGCAAAACCCGCUGCAAACUUCAGCUGCCUGCUGGAACAUACCUGCUGCAGCCACAUCCCAGCGCCUUCCCAACAGGACUGGGUCGUAUCUGACAGCGAACCUACAGUGACUCUCUUAAUUAAGUCUCCCUGCACUGCUGUGAGGUAUGUAAUUACAGUGAGACCUGACUUCAGCAACCACAUGAGGGACUAACAACAAAAAAAAACCUCUUUACCAGAGCAAGGAGGAACAGAAUUAUACUGUUGCUUUUUUAUAAAUAUAUAUAUAUACUUCAGGGGAAGUUUAUUAAACCAAAUAUGUCAAUUAGUCUGGUUUCUUCUCAGUGUAUCCCAGUAUUAGGAUGAUACCUUUAAUAUACUGUAUGUUGAUAUAAGCAGCCUAUUUCCUUCCAAAAAGAUCCUUGAGAUUGUUUAUUUUUUUAAAUAGAGAUUUCUGUAAAAAGCAUCAAUUAAUACAAAUGGUGACAGUGGUCUUGUGAGAGGAACUGUUCUUACCAGAAGCUGAGCAGUGGUUCUCACUUCCCAACCCCCGUCCAGGGGUAGAAAUGUUUAAUAAAAGGGUGACAUNNNNNNNNNNNNNNNNNNNN
Molecule: long non-coding RNA, 1313 nt
Filed under: Chrysolophus pictus (golden pheasant)
Lineage: Eukaryota; Metazoa; Chordata; Aves; Galliformes; Phasianidae
Description: lncRNA (ENSCPIG00010012961.1)
Source: RNAcentral